GAUUUGAUUAAAGGCCGGGUCUGCCCAACGAUUUNAUUCAAUGGCCGCGGUAUUUCAUCGGUGCUCGGGUAGCAUAACACAUUGGUCUUUCACUCGAAGGCUGGUAUGAAUGGCUGGACGAGGCAUAUUCUUUCUUUAAUUUAAUUUGUGAAUUUCAUUUUUUAGUUAAAAAGCUAAAAUUUAUUUAUUGGACGAGAAGACCCUAUAGAUCUCUAUCAUUCCAUUUACUGAGUAAUUUGGUUAAUUUUUUACUACAAUUAACAGGAGUAUUUGGUUGGGGUGACUUUAGAAGUUUAAUCACUUCCAUUUGUAAUUUUCAUUAAUUUAUGUUUUUAUGAUCCAUUCAUAGUGAUUAUAAGAUUAAGUUACCUUAGGGAUAACAGCGUAAUUUUUUCGGAGAGUUCAUAUCGAUGAAGAAGUUUGCGACCU
RNAcentral lists this ribosomal RNA (429 nucleotides) under Apiomerus sp. 00003181. Its description in RNAcentral is "partial 16S ribosomal RNA". It matches the Rfam family "Bacterial large subunit ribosomal RNA", at positions 1865 to 2526 of the family's 2925-position model. Lineage: Eukaryota; Metazoa; Arthropoda; Insecta; Hemiptera; Reduviidae. The record is from RNAcentral.